RNAcentral lists this ribosomal RNA (570 nucleotides) under uncultured Cyrtostrombidium. RNAcentral's name for it is "partial large subunit ribosomal RNA". It matches the Rfam family "Eukaryotic large subunit ribosomal RNA", at positions 121 to 677 of the family's 3401-position model. Lineage: Eukaryota; Ciliophora; Spirotrichea; Cyrtostrombidiidae. The record is from RNAcentral.
UCUCCGUUUUACGGCGAAUUGUAAUCUUGAGUGGCUAUGCUCACCGGGACGCGGCGCAGAAGUGCCCUCGAACGGGCCGCCAGAGAGGGUGACAGCCCCGUACGUGGCGCCGCGGCCUAACGAGCAGGUCUACAAAGAGUCGGGUUGUUUGGUAUUGCAGCCCUAAGCGGGAGAUAAACUUCUUCUAAGGCUAAAUAUAUGUGGGAAACCGAUAGCGAACAAGUACUGUGAAGGAAAGAUGAAAAGCACUUUGGAAAGAGAGUCAAAAGACCUGAAACCGUUGAGGAGGAAGCGGUAGAGAUGAAUUCUACAGCGAGGCGCUGGGGAGUCGGCCUAACCAUUGCGGGUUUGUCGUUCGUCAAAGGCGGCGGCUUGUAUAAGGGGAAGCCGAUGACUUGCGCGGCGUUGUGAGGCCGGAUGGGUUGACGUGAUCACAGAGGCCUGUCAAGACUGGUUUCCCUCGGGAGGCAUCUUGGGAGUGCCGGUGGCUGCGUGGACUGAGGGUGCCUUGUGCGAUCCGGUCAAAAUGGUCUUUACCGACUCGUCUUGAAACACGAACCAAGGAGUCUU